GGAGUUUGGACCGUGUCUCAGUUCCAAUGUGGCCGAUCACCCUCUCAGGUCGGCUACCGAUCGUCGCUUUGGUGGGCCGUUACCUCACCAACUGGCUAAUCGGACGCGAGCCCACCCCUCACCGGAUUGCUCCUUUGACCCCUGCACCAUGCGAUGCUGUGGUCUUAUGCGGUAUUAGGACACCUUUCGGUAUUUUAUCCCCCUGUCAGGGAAAGGUUGCUCACGCGUUACUCACCCGUCCGCCGCUGAAACAUACAUCCGUCCGGCCGAAGCCUUCAGGUCGCAUGUCUCCGCUCGACUUGCAUGUGUUAGGCACGCCGCCAGCGUCG
This 329-nucleotide ribosomal RNA is filed under the name uncultured Coriobacteriales bacterium. RNAcentral's name for it is "partial 16S ribosomal RNA". The record is from RNAcentral. Lineage: Bacteria; Bacillati; Actinomycetota; Coriobacteriia; Coriobacteriales.